GUGAUGAUGGUGGUGAUGAUGGUGAUGGUGGUGAUGAUGGUGGUGAUGAUGGUGGUGGUGAUUGUGGUGGUGGUGAUGGUGGUGGUGGUGAUGGUGUUGAUGAUGGUGGUGGUGGUGAUGGUGAUGAUGAUGGUGGUGGUGAUUGUGGUGAUGGUCAUGAGGAUGAUGAUGAUGAUGGUGAUGGUGGUGAUGAUGGUGAUGGUGGUGAUGAUGGUGGUGAUGGUGGUGAUGGUGGUGAUGGUGAUGAUGGUGAAGAUGGUGAUGGUGGUGAUGGUGGUGGUAUUGGUG
This is a long non-coding RNA of Oncorhynchus tshawytscha (Chinook salmon), 288 nucleotides long. NCBI's taxonomy places the organism in Eukaryota, Metazoa, Chordata, Actinopteri, Salmoniformes, Salmonidae. The record is from Ensembl.